AACGAACGCUGGCGGCAUGCCUAACACAUGCAAGUCGAACGAGACCUUCGGGUCUAGUGGCGCACGGGUGCGUAACGCGUGGGAACCUGCCCUUAGGUUCGGAAUAACUCCCCGAAAGGGGUGCUAAUACCGGAUAAUGUCUUCGGACCAAAGAUUUAUCGCCUUUGGAUGGGCCCGCGUUGGAUUAGCUAGUUGGUAGGGUAAAAGCCUACCAAGGCGACGAUCCAUAGCUGGUCUGAGAGGAUGAUCAGCCACCCUGGGACUGGGACACGGCCCAGACCCUGACGGGGGGGCGCAGGGGGGAUUUUGGGAUAGCGGGCGAAAGCAGGAGCCCUCAGGGCCGGGUGGGUGAUUAAGUGCUAAGGGUUGGAAGCCCUUUUUCCCCGGGAUGUUAAGACCGGUCCCGGAGAAAAAGCCCCCGCUAACCUCCUG
This 432-nucleotide ribosomal RNA is filed under the name uncultured bacterium. RNAcentral describes it as "partial 16S ribosomal RNA". It matches the Rfam family "Bacterial small subunit ribosomal RNA", at positions 29 to 507 of the family's 1533-position model. The record is from RNAcentral.